AUACUGGCUGAAGGACAGUUCAGCAUAUGGAGUCUAUUCCGAGAAUUUAUACAGCAGACUUCUCUGGAGGGAGAGAAAUCAAAACACAUGUUUUUCAAAAGUGCUGGAAUGGCCUGAUUAGCAGAAAUUACAAAUGGUCUGGAAGAGUUAAAAAGCACAGUAAUUUGAACAGCCAGACAUCAUCCAAAACCCUUCAGGAAUUGUUCUUCUCCCCAGAGAUUUCAUGUUCCCGGCAAUCUCUGUACAAAGCUGUCAGCUUUAAGUGGGCUGAGAGACAAUAUUGGCAUUGGCAUGUUCCCAGUACAAAAAUAAGUGGAGAAACUGACAUACAAGUGAAGUCCCAUUUAAAGCAUCAUAUGGAGCAUCACCUUGCUCGAAGGCUGAAGCAGCCUGUUGGAUGUCAGGCAACACUUCAGGAUGAAAGUCAAGCUGCCUUGGGAAAUACAGAGGCUUUUACUCUGAGGUCCAAAGAAAAAACUACAGAUCAGGCCAGAAGUCACCAUGCAAAUUCCAGUGCAUUUUCAGAUGGAUCUCAACAGAAGAAUAAAACCUGUUUAUCAGAAGAGGAGUUAUUCUUCAAAAGGCACACAACAGCAAUGCAGAGAGGGGUAAAUUUAAAUAACUGGGUCCUGCCAACAGAGAGAACAGAUGAAAUACCUCACUUGAAGAGCCUGGAGAUUAGUGAUGACAAGGGAAAUAGGGUGAUGACAAACUCAUUGAAAAGUGCUUUGUCAGAAACUGUUGCUUUAGCUGAAAAUGAGCAUUCCAGUCAGGAUAAUGGAGCAGACAGACCUCUCUACAGUGAGUCCUCAUCACAAAGUACAGCUCAGCUUGAGCUCCAGUCUGCAAGCAGGGCUGAAAACACAGUCUUCUACUCCUUUGUUACUAGGGUGACCAGAUGUUAA
RNAcentral lists this long non-coding RNA (905 nucleotides) under Gopherus agassizii (Agassiz's desert tortoise). RNAcentral's name for it is "lncRNA (ENSGAGG00000018609.1)". The record is from RNAcentral. Lineage: Eukaryota; Metazoa; Chordata; Testudines; Testudinidae.